GACGAACGCUGGCGGCGUGCUUAACACAUGCAAGUCGAACGGACAGGCCCUGCUUUUGUUGGGUGCUCGUGUGGCGCACGGGUGAGUAACACGCGAGUAUCCUGCCCCUGACAUUGGGGUAUAUUCAGGAGACUGGGGCUCAUACCCGAUAGAAGAUCCUGCUGCGCAGUGUGGGUUGGAAAAUUUCGGCGGUAGUGGAUAGUCUGGCUGCUUAUCAGCUUGUUUGUGUGGUAGGGGUUGACGAAGGCUUCGACGGGUAGCCGGCCUGAGAGGGUGACCGGGCACAAUGGUACUGAGAGACGCCGCAGACUCCUACGGGAGGCAGCAGUGGGGAAUAUGGCAGAAUGGGCGGAAGUCUGAGGUAACGACGCCGCGAGCGGGAUGACGGCCUACGGGUUGUAAACCGCUUUCGCCUGAGACGAAGCGUUAGUGACGGUAACUGGUAAAGAAGCACCGGCUAACUACGUG
This 468-nucleotide ribosomal RNA is filed under the name uncultured bacterium. RNAcentral describes it as "partial 16S ribosomal RNA". It matches the Rfam family "Bacterial small subunit ribosomal RNA", at positions 28 to 507 of the family's 1533-position model. The record is from RNAcentral.